GACGAACGCUGGCGGCGUGCCUAAUACAUGCAAGUAGAACGCUGAAGCUUGGUGCUUGCACCGAGCGGAUGAGUUGCGAACGGGUGAGUAACGCGUAGGUAACCUGCCUGGUAGCGGGGGAUAACUAUUGGAAACGAUAGCUAAUACCGCAUAACAGUAUAUAUCGCAUGAUAGCUACUUGAAAGGUGCAAAUGCACCACUACAAGAUGGACCUGCGUGGUAUUAGCUAGUUGGUGAGGUAACGGCUCACCAAGGCAAAGAUACAUAGCCGACCUGAAAGGGGGGUCGGCCAACCCGGGACUGAGAAACGGCCCAGACUCCUACGGGAGGCAGCAGUAGGGAAUCUUCGGCAAUGGACGGAAGGCUGACCGAGCAACGCCGCGUGAGUGAAGAAGGGUUUCGGAUCGUAAAGCUCUGUUGUAAGAGAAGAACGAGUGUGAGAGUGGAAAGUUCACACUGUGACGGUAUCUUACCAGAAAGGGACGGCUAACUACGUG
Molecule: ribosomal RNA, 497 nt
Filed under: uncultured bacterium
Lineage: Bacteria
Description: partial 16S ribosomal RNA
Rfam family: Bacterial small subunit ribosomal RNA
Source: RNAcentral